AGGAUGAACGCUGGCGGCGUGCUUAACACAUGCAAGUCGAACGAUGACGGCUGGAGCUUGCUCUGGCUGGAUUAGUGGCGAACGGGUGAGUAACACGUGAGUAACCUGCCCCAGACUCUGGGAUAAGCGCUGGAAACGGCGUCUAAUACCGGAUACGAGCUUCCACCGCAUGGUGAGGUAGCUGGAAAAGAAUUUUCGGUCUGGGAUGGACUCGCGGCCUAUCCAGCUUGUUGGUGAGGUAAUGGCUCACCAAGGCGACGGACGGGUAGCCGGCCUGGAGAGGGUCGACCGGCCACGAACUUGGGAACCGUGAGACACCGGCCCAGACCUCCCGUACGGGAGGACAGGCGAGUAGGGGUAAUUAGUUCGAC
RNAcentral lists this ribosomal RNA (371 nucleotides) under uncultured soil bacterium. RNAcentral describes it as "bacterial SSU rRNA". It matches the Rfam family "Bacterial small subunit ribosomal RNA", at positions 26 to 372 of the family's 1533-position model. The record is from RNAcentral.